UUUAAAUGGCCGCAGUAUACUAACUGUGCAAAGGUAGCAUAAUCAUUAGUCUUUUAAUUGAAGGCUGGUAUGAAUGGUUGGACGAAAUAUUAACUGUUUCAAAAAAAAUUAUAAUAGAAUUUUAUUUUUUAGUCAAAAAGCUAAAAUAAAUUUAAAAGACGAGAAGACCCUAUGAAUCUUUAUAUUUAAAUUAUUAUAAUUUUAUAGAUUAAUUUUAUUAUAUUAAUUUAUAAUAUUUUGUUGGGGUGAUAUUAAAAUUUAAUAAACUUUUAAUUUUAAAAAAUCAUUAAUUUAUGAAUAAUUGAUCCGUUAUUAACGAUUAAAAAUUUAAGUUACUCUAGGGAUAACAGCGUAAUUUUUUUGGAGAGUUCUUAUUGAUAAAAAAGUUUGCGACCUCGAUGUUGGAUUAAGAUAUAAUUUUAGGUG
Molecule: ribosomal RNA, 426 nt
Filed under: Fannia manicata
Lineage: Eukaryota; Metazoa; Arthropoda; Insecta; Diptera; Fanniidae
Description: partial 16S ribosomal RNA
Source: RNAcentral